RNAcentral lists this ribosomal RNA (272 nucleotides) under uncultured bacterium. RNAcentral describes it as "partial 16S ribosomal RNA". It matches the Rfam family "Bacterial small subunit ribosomal RNA", at positions 524 to 794 of the family's 1533-position model. The record is from RNAcentral.
UACGGAGGGUCCGAGCGUUAAUCGGAAUUACUGGGCGUAAAGCGUGCGCAGGCGGUUUGUUAAGCGAGAUGUGAAAGCCCUGGGCUCAACCUAGGAAUAGCAUUUCGAACUGGCGAACUAGAGUCUUGUAGAGGGGGUAGAAUUCCAGGUGUAGCGGUGAAAUGCGUAGAGAUCUGGAGGAAGUACCGGUGGCGAAGGCGGCCCCCCUGGACAAAGACUGACGCUUCAGGCACGAAAGCGUGGGAGCAAACAGGAUUAGAUACCCGCGUAGU